RNAcentral lists this ribosomal RNA (253 nucleotides) under uncultured bacterium. RNAcentral's name for it is "partial 16S ribosomal RNA". It matches the Rfam family "Bacterial small subunit ribosomal RNA", at positions 524 to 776 of the family's 1533-position model. The record is from RNAcentral.
UACAGGGGGGGCAAGCGUUGUUCGGAAUUACUGGGCGUAAAGGGUCUGUAGGUGGCCAACUAAGUCAGACGUGAAAUCCCUCAGCUUAACUGGGGAACUGCGUCUGAUACUGGAUGGCUCGAGUGUGGGAGAGGAAUGCGGAAUUCCAGGUGUAGCGGUGAAAUGCGUAGAUAUCUGGAGGAACACCGGUGGCGAAGGCGGCAUUCUGGACCAUAACUGACACUGAGAGACGAAAGCCAGGGGAGCAAACGGG